GGAUUGCUCAGUCGGCAGAGCAUGAGACUCUUAAUCUGAAGGUCGUGGGUUCAAGCCCCACUUGGGAUG
RNAcentral lists this transfer RNA (69 nucleotides) under Podarcis lilfordi (Lilford's wall lizard). Its description in RNAcentral is "tRNA.Lys". The stretch from base 3 to 62 matches the Rfam family "tRNA", at positions 7 to 64 of the family's 71-position model. Rfam says of the family: Transfer RNA (tRNA) molecules are approximately 80 nucleotides in length. Their secondary structure includes four short double-helical elements and three loops (D, anti-codon, and T loops). The record is from RNAcentral. Lineage: Eukaryota; Metazoa; Chordata; Lepidosauria; Squamata; Lacertidae.